GGGUUGUGAGGUUAAGCGACUAAGCGUACACGGUGGAUGCCCUGGCAGUCAGAGGCGAUGAAGGGCGUGCUAAUCUGCGAUAAGCGCCGGUAAGGUGAUAUGAACCGCUACAACCGGCGAUACCCGAAUGGGGAAACCCAGUGUGACUCGUCACACUAUCAUGCAGUGAAUACAUAGCUGUAUGAGGCGAACCGGGGGAACUGAAACAUCUAAGUACCCCGAGGAAAAGAAAUCAACCGAGAUUCCCCCAGUAGCGGCGAGCGAACGGGGAGGAGCCCAGAACCAUCAUCAGCUUGUGCAUCAGUGGAAGCGUCUGGAAAGUCGCAGGGUACAGGGUGAUACUCCCGUACACAAAGGUGCACAGGCUGUGAGUUCGAUGAGUAAGGCGGGACACGUGGUAUCCUGUCUGAAUAUGGGGGGACCAUCCUCCAAGGCUAAAUACUCCUGACUGACCGAUAGUGAACCAGUACCGUGAGGGAAAGGCGAAAAGAACCCCGGCGAGGGGAGUGAAACAGAACCUGAAACCGUGUACGUACAAGCAGUGGGAGCCUCUUUAUGGGGUGACUGCGUACCUUUUGUAUAAUGGGUCAGCGACUUAUAUUCUGUAGCAAGGUUAACCGCAUAGGGGAGCCGCAGGGAAACCGAGUCUUAACUGGGCGUUAAGUUGCAGGGUAUAGACCCGAAACCCGGUGAUCUAGCCAUGGGCAGGUUGAAGGUUGGGUAACACUAACUGGAGGACCGAACCGAC
Molecule: ribosomal RNA, 748 nt
Filed under: Pantoea ananatis
Lineage: Bacteria; Pseudomonadati; Pseudomonadota; Gammaproteobacteria; Enterobacterales; Erwiniaceae
Description: bacterial LSU rRNA
Rfam family: Bacterial large subunit ribosomal RNA
Source: RNAcentral